AUUGAACGCUGGCGGCAGGCCUAACACAUGCAAGUCGAGCGGAAGAAGCGAGCUUGCUUCGGGAUUCAGCGGCGCACGGGUGUGUAAUGCAUAGGAAUCAGCCUGCUAGUGGGGGAUAAUGUCCGGAAACGGGCGCUAAUACUGCAUACGUCCUGCGGGAGAAAGUGGGGGAUCUUCGGACCUCUCGCUAUCAGAUGAGCCUACGUCGGAGUAGUUGGUUGGUGGGGUAAAGGCCUACCAAGCCGACGAUCCGCAACUGGUCUGAGAGGAUGAGCAGUCACCCUGGACCUGAGACGCGCUCACGGCUACUACGGGAGGCAGCAGUGGGGAAUAUGAGACAAUGGGAGAGAACCUGAUCCAACCAUCCCGAGUGUGAGAAACAGGCCUUCGGUUUGUAAAGAACGUUGAGGUGGGAGGAAGAGCAGUCAGUUAAUACGUUGCUGUAUUGACGGUACCAACAGAAGAAGCACCGGCUAACUUCGUG
This 484-nucleotide ribosomal RNA is filed under the name uncultured bacterium. RNAcentral describes it as "partial 16S ribosomal RNA". It matches the Rfam family "Bacterial small subunit ribosomal RNA", at positions 30 to 507 of the family's 1533-position model. The record is from RNAcentral.